Molecule: ribosomal RNA, 406 nt
Filed under: uncultured bacterium
Lineage: Bacteria
Description: partial 16S ribosomal RNA
Rfam family: Bacterial small subunit ribosomal RNA
Source: RNAcentral
AUUGAACGCUGGCGGCAGGCCUAACACAUGCAAGUCGAACGAGUGGCGGACGGGUGAGUAAUGUCUGGGAAACUGCCUGAUGGAGGGGGAUAACUACUGGAAACGGUAGCUAAUACCGCAUACCAUCAGAUGUGCCCAGAUGGGAUUAGCUUGUUGGUGGGGUAACGGCUCACCAAGGCGACGCGCCCUAGCUGGUCUGAGAGGAUGACCAGCCACACUGGAACUGAGACACUGUCCAGACUCCUACGGGAGGCAGAAGGGGGGAAGAUUGCACAAUGGGUGCAAGCCUGAUGCAGCCAGGCCGCGUGUAUGAAGAAGGCCUGCGGGUUGUAAAGUACUUUCAGCGUGGAGGCGUUACCCGCAGAAGAAGCACCGGCUAACUCCGUGCCAGCAGCCGCGGUAAUAC